Molecule: ribosomal RNA, 253 nt
Filed under: uncultured bacterium
Lineage: Bacteria
Description: partial 16S ribosomal RNA
Rfam family: Bacterial small subunit ribosomal RNA
Source: RNAcentral
UACGUAGGGUGCGAGCGUUAAUCGGAAUUACUGGGCGUAAAGCGUGCGCAGGCGGUUUUGUAAGCCAGAUGUGAAAUCCCCGGGCUUAACCUGGGAAUGGCAUUUGGGACUGCAGGGCUGGAGUUUGGCAGAGGAGACUGGAAUUCCUGGUGUAGCAGUGAAAUGCGUAGAUAUCAGGAGGAAUACCGAUGGCGAAGGCAGGUCUCUGGGCUAUAACUGACGCUCAUGCACGAAAGCGUGGGGAGCAAACAGG